AAUAAAUCAUGAAAUAAAGUAAAACAAUCACAGACUAACAUUACGAUUUUCGGUACAAGCUAUACUGAGCUGAUUAUUAUAAGGGAAAGUGUUGCCUGUCGUGUUCACUUGGAUACGGUUGAACCCAUGUAAACAAUACUCUUUGUGUGUAAAAUUUGGGAUAUUUUCUGUGUUUGAAGAGUUCUCGCUGUGCGCUGGUCGGCAAUCUUGAAAAAUAAAUUGUGAAGGUCGUAUUUCCAGCUUUCCUACGAGACGGCAGUUCAGAUGCAGUCGUCUUAUGUGUCAGAAAGCUGGUGAUCAAAAUGGUUGAAAGCAGUACCCAAGAAAGUACAUUUACUAAUUUGUGAGGAGUAACCUUGCCUAUAUUACGGUAUAUUACCUGAAGCUCACCCAAUAUGCAGUGUGUUCUGCUCUGUCAAUAACAACUCUGUAUGGCUGGUCUGACCUCAGUGGAAGUUGUUCGUUUAAAUGGUUUCGGGACAUUGAAGUACAACAAUACAAGAAUGUCCCACCAAGAGUGAAGGGCUGCCUGUUUGCUUCAGAUUACCAGUCCUCCUCGCUGAUGAUUUCUGAAGUCCUUACUCUUAUUAUUUGUCAAACCAAAAGAUGAAUGUCAAAUUAUUUGAAGAUGCUAAGCAUUUAUCAUACAUGUUACUCUUUUUUAUGACAAAUCGACUCACAAAUUUAAGCAAACCAGGUGACGAUGUACAAAUAAUUUAGGGUGACGAGCUUUUUGGUUACCUCGCCCAGCCAAACUUAAAGACUUAAAGUAUAUAUAUAAGUCUUUUAGUUUGGUCGGGCGAGCGAGCCAAAAUCUUGCACCCCAAAAUAUUUGUACAUCGUCACUUUGUGUGCUUAAUUUUGAGAUUCAACUAAAUCGUUCUAAAAUCAAUGUAAAAAAAAGUUUCAUAAGGGGGGUACUCAGUGUGAAAAAACUACAUCGCUUAAACGCAAAUGCGCUUUGGUAGGUAUAUAGCUAAAACGCGAAUGCGCUAUGGUGAAAAUCCAAAGUCAAAAAAUUUGAAAAUUUUGAAAUGUUGUCAAAUAAAUCAUGAUAUUAAGCACUGUUUUAGUGAACUGCUCUGUCAUUUGUAAAUCAAAACUGAGAGAAUGGUUAAUAUGUUUUGAAAUUAAGCAUUUAUCAUUUUUGUAAAAAUCGAAUGUUAUUAAUGAAACCAAAAUUUACCAGAGUAAACAUUAAUUUGCUAUUGUAUGUAAGAAUGUUUCGUAUUUUACACUGUUUCAUUUCAUUUUUUCAGAUGAGAUGCCAUACACAGGGGAUCCGACAGAAGACAGCAGACAGAAUUCGUCGAUCUAUUUGAAAUGUCAUUGCUUAUUUGAAAAAAGUUACCUA
This is a long non-coding RNA of Mya arenaria, 1354 nucleotides long. RefSeq lists it as uncharacterized. Lineage: Eukaryota; Metazoa; Mollusca; Bivalvia; Myida; Myidae. The record is from RefSeq and is a predicted model, not a curated record. The transcript has 6 exons.